AAGACCUUGCGCUUUUGGAGCGGCCGAUGUCUGAUUAGCUUGUUGGUGAGGUAAAGGCUUACCAAGGCUUCGAUCAGUAGCUGGUCUGAGAGGACGGCCAGCCACACUGGGACUGAGACACGGCCCAGACUCCUACGGGAGGCAGCAGUGGGGAAUUUUGGACAAUGGGGGCGACCCUGAUCCAGCCAUGCCGCGUGAGUGAAGAAGGCCUUCGGGUUGUAAAGCUCUUUCAGCCGGAACGAAACGGUUACGGUUAAUACCCGUGACUACUGACGGUACCGGAAGAAGAAGCACCGGCUAACUACGUGCCAGCAGCCGCGGUAAUACGUAGGGUGCAAGCGUUAAUCGGAAUUACUGGGCGUAAAGCGUGCGCAGGUGGUUUUGUAAGUCAGAUGUGAAAUCCCCGGGCUUAACCUGGGAACU
Molecule: ribosomal RNA, 423 nt
Filed under: uncultured bacterium
Lineage: Bacteria
Description: bacterial SSU rRNA
Rfam family: Bacterial small subunit ribosomal RNA
Source: RNAcentral